GAUGAACGCUGGCGGCGUGCCUAAUACAUGCAAGUCGAGCGAACGGACGAGAGGCUUGCUUCUCUGAUGUUAGCGGCGGACGGGUGAGUAACACGUGGAUAACCUACCUAUAAGACUGGGAUAACUUCGGGAAACCGGAGCUAAUACCGGAUAAUAUUUUGAACCGCAUGGUUCAAAAGUGAAAGACGGUCUUGCUGUCACUUAUAGAUGGAUCCGCGCUGCAUUAGCUAGUUGGUAAGGUAACGGCUUACCAAGGCAACGAUGCAUAGCCGACCUGAGAGGGUUACCCGGCCACCGGGCAUGGGGACCCCGGCCGGCACCCGUCGGGAGGCCAGCGUUGGUAUUUCCUCGACAAGGGGGAAGGCCCUCCGGCACCACCCCGCGUUGGCGAUCAACGUUCUCGGGUCGGAAACCUUUUUUUUUUGGGAAAGAACUUUGUGUCAGUUACGGGCGACCACUUCGCGGGCCCGAACCAGAAAUCCCCGGCUACCCUCC
Molecule: ribosomal RNA, 495 nt
Filed under: uncultured bacterium
Lineage: Bacteria
Description: partial 16S ribosomal RNA
Rfam family: Bacterial small subunit ribosomal RNA
Source: RNAcentral